Molecule: ribosomal RNA, 22 nt
Filed under: Ficus auriculata
Lineage: Eukaryota; Viridiplantae; Streptophyta; Magnoliopsida; Rosales; Moraceae
Description: partial 18S ribosomal RNA
Source: RNAcentral
CCCAGCAGAAAGACCCGCGAAC